Molecule: non-coding RNA, 164 nt
Filed under: uncultured Faecousia sp.
Lineage: Bacteria; Bacillati; Bacillota; Clostridia; Eubacteriales; Oscillospiraceae
Description: Lysine riboswitch
Rfam family: Lysine riboswitch aptamer
About the family: Riboswitches are metabolite binding domains within certain messenger RNAs that serve as precision sensors for their corresponding targets.
Source: RNAcentral
UAGAUAGAGGCGCGGUACUCAUCAGUACCCUCCGGCAAGGUCGUGCAGCCGCCGGGCGGGAAAGGGAUCACCGCCGAAGUUGGAACCGAUUGCCCGGUUGGUUCCUGCUGGGCCGUCAGAGAACAUCUGCCGGACUGUCACAAGAACUUUGUGAAGCGCUAUCA